AUACGGAGGGAGCGAGCGUUAAUCGGAAUUACUGGGCGUAAAGCGCUCGUAGGCGGCUUGUUAAGUCGGAUGUGAAAGCCCCGGGCUCAACCUGGGAACUGCAUUCGAUACUGGCAGGCUAGAGUAUAGUAGAGGCAAGUGGAAUUCCGGGUGUAGCGGUGAAAUGCGUAGAUAUCCGGAGGAACAUCAGUGGCGAAGGCGACUUGCUGGACUAAUACUGACGCUGAGGAGCGAUAGCGUGGGGAGCAAACGGGAUUAGAAACCCGUGUAGUCC
RNAcentral lists this ribosomal RNA (274 nucleotides) under uncultured bacterium. Its description in RNAcentral is "partial 16S ribosomal RNA". It matches the Rfam family "Bacterial small subunit ribosomal RNA", at positions 523 to 796 of the family's 1533-position model. The record is from RNAcentral.